AUAUUAUUGAAGCUUCAUUAAGGAUGAGUAGGAUCUCCUUUUGAAGGAGGUGCAGGACCAUUUGGAAGAGAUUGCAAAACAAGACCAUGCUCCUGAUAAUGCAAUAAUAAUGGCCUGCAAUCUGCGCUUGAUUGAGAUGUUACAAGAAUGAUUAGUACAAGGAGCAAAACUCUGAAAAGGAUCAUUCUAUAAGAGAAAGCCAUGUAUAUGUAUAUAUAAAUGUUGGAAUCAAUUUGUAUGUGAAAUAUGUUC
Molecule: long non-coding RNA, 252 nt
Filed under: Lathyrus oleraceus (garden pea)
Lineage: Eukaryota; Viridiplantae; Streptophyta; Magnoliopsida; Fabales; Fabaceae
Description: Pisum sativum (pea) long non-coding RNA (PSAT_LNC009386)
Source: RNAcentral